RNAcentral lists this transfer RNA (83 nucleotides) under Schistocephalus solidus. It matches the Rfam family "tRNA". From Rfam's summary of the family: Transfer RNA (tRNA) molecules are approximately 80 nucleotides in length. Their secondary structure includes four short double-helical elements and three loops (D, anti-codon, and T loops). The record is from Rfam by way of RNAcentral. Lineage: Eukaryota; Metazoa; Platyhelminthes; Cestoda; Diphyllobothriidea; Diphyllobothriidae.
GGCCUCGUGGCUCAGUUGGCUAGAGCGUUGGCUGUACUAACUCCUGCCUCUCGCUAGCGUGGGUUCGAAUCCCACAGAAGCCA